This 1478-nucleotide ribosomal RNA is filed under the name metagenome. RNAcentral describes it as "bacterial SSU rRNA". It matches the Rfam family "Bacterial small subunit ribosomal RNA". The record is from RNAcentral.
AGAGUUUGAUCCUGGCUCAGGACGAACGCUGGCGGCGUGGAUUAGGCAUGCAAGUCGAGCGACGGUAUUCCUUCGGGAAUAUACGGAGCGGCGAACGGGUGAGUAACGCGUGAACAACCUGUCCCUUUGUUCCGGAUAAUUGGGAGAAAUCCCUUGUAAUACGGGCGAGGACGGUCCUUUGGCAUCUUAGGAUCGGGAAACACGAAAGUGGCAUGGGGAGGGGUUCGCGACCUAUCAGGUAGUUGGUGUGGUAACGGCACACCAAGCCAACGACGGGUAGCUGGUCUGAGAGGAUGGUCAGCCACAUUGGAACUGAGACACUGUCCAGACUCCUACGGGAGGCUGCAGUCGAGAAUCUUGGGCAAUGCACGAAAGUGUGACCCAGCGACGCCGCGUGAAGGAUGAAGGCCCUCUGGGUCGUAAACUUCUUUUAAGGGGAAAGAAUGGGCUUCGGCCUUUGACGGUACCCUUUGAAUAAGCCACGGCUAACUACGUGCCAGCAGCCGCGGUAAUACGUAGGUGGCGAGCGUUUUUCCGGAUUUACUGGGCGUAAAGCGAACGCAGGCGGAGUGUUAAGUAAGAAGUGAAAGGUUGGAGCUCAACUCUGACACGGCUUCUUAUACUGGCAUUCUUGAGUCUUGGAGAGGAAAGCGGAACGACACGUGUAGCGGUGAAAUGCGUUGAUAUGUGUCGGAACACCGAUGGCGAAAGCAGCUUUCUGGACAAGUACUGACGCUGAGGUUCGAAAGCCAAGGGAGCAACAGGAUUAGAUACCCUGUAGUCUUUGCCAUAAACGAUGUUCACUAGGUGUCGGGGCUUUGCUUCGGUGCCGCAGCUAACGCAUUAAGUGAACCGCCUGGGAACUACGAUCGCAAGAUAAAACUCAAAGGAAUUGGCGGGGGCCCGCACAAGCGGUGGAGCAUAUGGCUUAAUUCGAUGCAACGCGAAGAACCUUACCAGGGCUUGACAUGUAACUGCACGCUGUAGAGAUACAGUUCUUUCGAAGGUGUUGCACAGGUGGUGCAUGGCUGUCGUCAGCUCGUGUCGUGAGAUGUUGGGUUAAGUCCCGCAACGAGCGCAACCCUCACGGUCUGUUACCAGCGGAUAAUGCCAGGGACUCGGACUGAACUGCCUCUGUAAAGAGGAGGAAGGUGGGGAUGACGUCAAGUCAUCAUGCCCCUUACGCCCUGGGCUGCACAUAUGCUACAAUGGCCGGUACAAAGAGCUGCGAGCACGCGAGUGUCAGCAAAUCUCAAAAAGCCGGUCUCAGUUCGGAUUGGAGUCUGCAACUCGACUCCAUGAAGUCGGAAUCGCUAGUAAACGCCGGUCAGCAAUACGGCGUUGAAUACGUUCCCGGGCCUUGCACACACCGCCCGUCACGUGACGAAAGUCGGUCUCGCCCGAAGUCGCUGCGCCAACCGCAAGGAGGCAGGCGCCGAAGGCAGGGCUGGUAAUUGGCGCGAAGUCGUAACAAGGUA